Molecule: small RNA, 149 nt
Organism: Salmonella enterica subsp. enterica serovar Typhimurium
Lineage: Bacteria; Pseudomonadati; Pseudomonadota; Gammaproteobacteria; Enterobacterales; Enterobacteriaceae
Rfam family: Enterobacterial sRNA STnc70
Source: Rfam
GAGCGCAACACUUAGCCAGCAUAUACGCUAUGGAUUUCGAGUUGCAGACAAUACGUCUGUAAUUUGCAAGACGAGUCGUACUGGCUCUGAAGUUACCUACGGGUAGUUCAGGUAAUGGGGCCGCCUGUCAGGCGGCCUUUUUACUUUAG